AGAGUUUGAUCCUGGCUCAGGACGAACGCUGGCGGCGUGCUUAACACAUGCAAGUCGAACGGAAAGGCCCUGCUUUUGUGGGGUGCUCGAGUGGCGAACGGGUGAGUAACACGUGAGUAACCUGCCCUUGACUUUGGGAUAACUUCAGGAAACUGGGGCUAAUACCGGAUAGGAGCUCCUGCUGCAUGGUGGGGGUUGGAAAGUUUCGGCGGUUGGGGAUGGACUCGCGGCUUAUCAGCUUGUUGGUGGGGUAGUGGCUUACCAAGGCUUUGACGGGUAGCCGGCCUGAGAGGGUGACCGGCCACAUUGGGACUGAGAUACGGCCCAGACUCCUACGGGAGGCAGCAGUGGGGAAUAUUGCACAAUGGGCGGAAGCCUGAUGCAGCAACGCCGCGUGCGGGAUGAUGGCCUUCGGGUUGUAAACCGCUUUCGCCUGUGACGAAGCGUGAGUGACGGUAAUGGGUAAAGAAGCACCGGCUAACUACGUG
Molecule: ribosomal RNA, 488 nt
Filed under: uncultured Propionibacterium sp.
Lineage: Bacteria; Bacillati; Actinomycetota; Actinomycetes; Propionibacteriales; Propionibacteriaceae
Description: bacterial SSU rRNA
Rfam family: Bacterial small subunit ribosomal RNA
Source: RNAcentral